RNAcentral lists this ribosomal RNA (510 nucleotides) under uncultured bacterium. RNAcentral describes it as "partial 16S ribosomal RNA". It matches the Rfam family "Bacterial small subunit ribosomal RNA", at positions 28 to 507 of the family's 1533-position model. The record is from RNAcentral.
GACGAACGCUGGCGGCGUGCUUAACACAUGCAAGUCGAACGAAGAGCGACGGAAGCUUGCUUCUAUCAAUCUUAGUGGCGAACGGGUGAGUAACGCGUAAUCAACCUGCCCUUCAGAGGGGGACAACAGUUGGAAACGACUGCUAAUACCGCAUACGAUCUAACCUCGGCAUCGAGGAUAGAUGAAAGGUGGCCUCUACAUGUAAGCUAUCACUGAAGGAGGGGAUUGCGUCUGAUUAGCUAGUUGGAGGGGUAACGGCCCACCAAGGCGAUGAUCAGUAGCCGGUCUGAGAGGAUGAGCGGCCACAUUGGGACUGAGACACGGCCCAGACGCCUACGGGAGGCAGCAGUGGGGAAUCUUCCGCAAUGGACGAAAGUCUGACGGAGCAACGCCGCGUGAGUGAUGACGGCCUUCGGGUUGUAAAGCUCUGUUAAUCGGGACGAAAGGCCUUCUUGCGAAUAGUGAGAAGGAUUGACGGUACCGGAAUAGAAAGCCACGGCUAACUACGUG